Molecule: ribosomal RNA, 595 nt
Filed under: Mantella betsileo
Lineage: Eukaryota; Metazoa; Chordata; Amphibia; Anura; Mantellidae
Description: partial 16S ribosomal RNA
Source: RNAcentral
GUAGGAUUUGCCGAGUUCCUUCUUUUUCUUUUAAUCUUUCCAUUAAUGUUCUUGUGUAAGGUUAACGUUUUGAUUUGUAGAGUUUUCUUGGUAUAGUUACUAAAGGGGGCUCAAUUUCGUUAAUUGCCAUUGGUUUGUCUAAUAUGGCUUAAGUUUACAUUUUGGAGAAAAAUUAUUUCUUGUUACUAGUUCUAGCAUUAUAUUUUUCAUAUUUUUAUGAAAUUACUCAAUAUUGGAGAAGGGUUUUAAAUGGUAUGGGGGAUUAGGAAAAGAAAAUGUUAAGCUUUAACGCUUUUAUGAAGGAUGGCUGCUUUUAGGCCCACUAGUCAUUUCAUUUUUUGAUAUAUUACCCUGUGGUGUAGGUUGUAUCCUGUUUCAAAUAAGCUGUGCCUUAUUUGAAUAGCUCUUAAAUUUAGUGGCGGUUUAGAGAAACUAGGAAAAACUUAAGGUUGAACUAAAAUUCUUUUCUUGAGUAACCAGCUAUUUCUGGGUGCGGUAGGUUUAUCACCUCUACUUGGAAAUCUUCCCACUCUAUUGCAACAGAGACGGGUUGGCUCUUACAGCUGUUUCGAAGUAGCUCACGUCAGUUUCGGGG